CUUUAUUGGAGAGUUUGAUCCUGGCUCAGGAUGAACGCUGGCGGCGUGCCUAAUACAUGCAAGUCGAGCGAAUGGAUUAAGAGCUUGCUCUUAUGAAGUUAGCGGCGGACGGGUGAGUAACACGUGGGUAACCUGCCCAUAAGACUGGGAUAACUCCGGGAAACCGGGGCUAAUACCGGAUAACAUUUUGAACCGCAUGGUUCGAAAUUGAAAGGCGGCUUCGGCUGUCACUUAUGGAUGGACCCGCGUCGCAUUAGCUAGUUGGUGAGGUAAC
This 274-nucleotide ribosomal RNA is filed under the name Bacillus sp. cl115. Its description in RNAcentral is "16S rRNA. Bacterial SSU". It matches the Rfam family "Bacterial small subunit ribosomal RNA", at positions 1 to 261 of the family's 1533-position model. The record is from RNAcentral. Lineage: Bacteria; Bacillati; Bacillota; Bacilli; Caryophanales; Bacillaceae.